RNAcentral lists this transfer RNA (74 nucleotides) under Inoviridae sp. Its description in RNAcentral is "tRNA-Gln". It matches the Rfam family "tRNA". From Rfam's summary of the family: Transfer RNA (tRNA) molecules are approximately 80 nucleotides in length. Their secondary structure includes four short double-helical elements and three loops (D, anti-codon, and T loops). The record is from RNAcentral. Lineage: Floreoviria; Loebvirae; Hofneiviricota; Faserviricetes; Tubulavirales; Inoviridae.
GGCGGGUUGGUGCAACGGUAGCACGCCAGUCUCUGAAGCUGGAACUGCUGGUUCGAAUCCAGAACCCGCAACCA